GGCUGGGUGGCGCAAUGGUAGCGCGUCUGAUUCCAGUCAAAGGAAUAUCCAGAAGGUUAGGUGUUCAAAUCACCUCUCGGUCA
Non-coding RNA from Aplosporella prunicola CBS 121167, 83 nucleotides. The record is from the annotation of a RefSeq genome assembly. Lineage: Eukaryota; Fungi; Ascomycota; Dothideomycetes; Botryosphaeriales; Aplosporellaceae.